UAGUAAUAAGAAUUAGGAUCGUGUUUUUUUUUUAAAUCCUGGAUAUUAAUUGGAACCCUUGAUAACAUUACUGCUUUUGAUAUAAAAAGUGCAUUUUUGAUUAUUUACUUGGGCUAGGAUAUUAAAAUAUCGGUUGGAUUGUACGACAUAAAUAGAUGUAGUUUUUGAUCAGACAUUUAAUUUUAUUUGUGAAAUGCCCACAAAAAAGCUUCCCAUGAUUCAACAUCAGUGUGUUUGCUGCAUAAUGGAUCAUUCCUGCUGAAUUUUUAGAUCAUUUGAAGACUACACG
This 289-nucleotide long non-coding RNA is filed under the name Sitophilus oryzae (rice weevil). RNAcentral's name for it is "uncharacterized LOC115879526". Lineage: Eukaryota; Metazoa; Arthropoda; Insecta; Coleoptera; Curculionidae. The record is from RNAcentral.